GCAAGUCGAGCGAACAGAGAAGGAGCUUGCUCCUUCGACGUUAGCGGCGGACSGGUGAGUAACACGUGGGCAACCUACCUUAUAGUUUGGGAUAACUCCGGGAAACCGGGGCUAAUACCGAAUAAUCUGUUUCACCUCAUGGUGAAACACUGAAAGACGGUUUCGGCUGUCGCUAUAGGAUGGGCCCGCGGCGCAUUAGCUAGUUGGUGAGGUAACGGCUCACCAAGGCGACGAUGCGUAGCCGACCUGAGAGGGUGAUCGGCCACACUGGGACUGAGACACGGCCCAGACUCCUACGGGAGGCAGCAGUAGGGAAUCUUCCACAAUGGGCGAAAGCCUGAUGGAGCAACGCCGCGUGAGUAGAGAAGGAUUUCGGUUCGUAAAACUCUGUUGUAAGGAGAGAGACASUUGGCUGUACCUUGACGGUACCUUAUUAGAAAGCCACGGCUAACUACGUGCCAGCAGCCGCGGUAAUACGUAGGUGGCAAGCGUUGUCCGGAAUUAUUGGGCGUAAAGCGCGCGCAGGUGGUUUCUUAAGUCUGAUGUGAAAGCCCACGGCUCAACCGUGGAGGGUCAUUGGAAACUGGGAGACUUGAGUGCAGAAGAGGAUAGUGGAAUUCCAAGUGUAGCGGUGAAAUGCGUAGAGAUUUGGAGGAACACCAGUGGCGAAA
RNAcentral lists this ribosomal RNA (671 nucleotides) under Lysinibacillus fusiformis. RNAcentral describes it as "bacterial SSU rRNA". The record is from RNAcentral. Lineage: Bacteria; Bacillati; Bacillota; Bacilli; Caryophanales; Bacillaceae.